This 683-nucleotide long non-coding RNA is filed under the name Apteryx rowi (Okarito brown kiwi). Its description in RNAcentral is "lncRNA (ENSARWG00000000884.1)". Lineage: Eukaryota; Metazoa; Chordata; Aves; Apterygiformes; Apterygidae. The record is from RNAcentral.
GAAAGGUGUGAAGGAAUGCAAGAGCUGUCUGCAGGAGAUCAAUGACCCAGCAGAGCUGUUCUGAAGCCACAUUUUCUGCACUCAGUAUAUCCUGGAUUGGGCAAACAAGCAGUACAAGAUCUGCAAGAAGGAAUAUCCAGAGGAUUACAUACCCACAGCUUCAGAGGCCACGGGGUAUCCUGGCACUGGGAAGCCAUUGCAUGUCACAGCAAAUUCAGGAGGAAAUGCAAUUCCUUCUUUGAUGAGUUGUCACCAUGUUCUUUUUGGGAAACAGACACACACCAUCCCCAGCAGUCAUUAAAUGACUGAUGAAGUUUGUGGCCUGCAAACCACCCAACCCUGAGCAUCAGGAGGGAAAACAGGGUAAGGGCCUGUCUACACUGUAGGCAUGUACUCUUGGAAGAAAAAUAACAAAUGCCAUCCUUUGUUCCUAGUAUACAAGCAAAAAAGCAAGUUGUCACCCUUCAAAGAGUGCACGAACACCAGUCCUACCAUCCAUCCAGUCCUGCCUCUUAAAGCUCCUCCUGAGAUGCAGGUUUACUUGGAAGAAUACCUCUCCCAGAUAGAGGAGAAGAUAACAUCCAACCAAAGUAACAGGGACCAUUUCUACUUCAUGGUGCAUUGUCUGGAGGUGAGUGCCCUUGGGAUGCACUGGGAAUCCCAAAGGGUACAUAAACUAGGAC